RNAcentral lists this ribosomal RNA (472 nucleotides) under Oedipodrilus macbaini. RNAcentral's name for it is "partial 16S ribosomal RNA". It matches the Rfam family "Bacterial large subunit ribosomal RNA", at positions 1832 to 2597 of the family's 2925-position model. The record is from RNAcentral. Lineage: Eukaryota; Metazoa; Annelida; Clitellata; Branchiobdellida; Branchiobdellidae.
UUUCUAGUGACAUAAUACUAGAUUAGCCCUGCCCUACGUAAUUAAGUGGCCGCGGUAUAUUAACCGUGCUAAGGUAGCAUAAUCAAUUGUUUAUUAAUUGUAAAAUUGAAUGAAUGGGUAAACAAAAUAAAGACUGUCUCCUAUAGAUUAAUAAAAACUAUCCUUCUUAUGAAGAGAUAAGAAUAAAAUUAAAGGACAAGAAGACCCUACAGAGCUUUCAUAUAAACUUAUUUAUAAACUAAAAUUUGGUUGGGGCGACCUAAGAUAAAAAAUAACAUCUUUACAUAAAAAAGAGUCUCAACUCUAAACAAUGAUCCAUAAUUGAUCAGUGAUUUAAGUUACCUUAGGGAUAACAGGCUGAUUAUUAUUUAGAGCUCUUAUCCAAAUAAUAGAUUGGCACCUCGAUGUUGGCUUAGGAAUACUAGUGUUCGCAAGAGAAUUCAAAGUUGGUUUGUUCAACCAUUAAUUUCCU